RNAcentral lists this ribosomal RNA (1113 nucleotides) under Triticum aestivum (bread wheat). Its description in RNAcentral is "partial small subunit ribosomal RNA". The record is from RNAcentral. Lineage: Eukaryota; Viridiplantae; Streptophyta; Magnoliopsida; Poales; Poaceae.
AUGGCGGAACGGGCCAAUCUGGUCUUUCAUAAUAAAGAGAUAGACGGAACUGGUAUGAAACGACUUAUUAGCAGAUUAAUAGAUCAUUUUGGAAUGGGAUAUACAUCCCAUAUACUGGAUCAACUAAAGACUCUGGGCUUCCAUCAAGCCACUACUACAUCGAUUUCGUUAGGAAUCGAGGAUCUUUUAACAAUACCCUCUAAGGGAUGGUUAGUCCAAGACGCGGAACAACGGAGUUUUCUUUUGGAGAAACACUAUUAUUAUGGGGCUGUACACGCAGUAGAAAAAUUACGCCAAUCUGUUGAGAUAUGGUAUGCGACAAGUGAAUAUUUGAAACAAGAAAUGAAUUCAAAUUUUUGGAUAACGGAUCCUUCUAAUCCAGUCUAUCUAAUGUCUUUUUCAGGAGCCAGAGGAAAUGCAUCUCAAGUACACCGAUUAGUAGGUAUGAGAGGAUUAAUGUCGGACCCUCAAGGACAAAUGAUUGAUUUACCUAUUCAAAGCAAUUUACGCGAGGGACUUUCUUUGACAGAAUAUAUAAUUUCCUGCUAUGGAGCCCGCAAAGGGGUUGUAGAUACUGCUGUGCGAACAGCAGAUGCUGGAUAUCUUACACGUAGACUUGUUGAAGUAGUUCAACAUAUUAUUGUGCAUAGAAGAGAUUGUGGUACUAUCCGAGGUAUUUCUGUAAGUCCUCAAAAUGGGAUGACGGAAAAACUUUUUGUCCAAACACUAAUUGGUCGUGUAUUAGCAGACGAUAUAUAUAUCGGUUCACGAUGCAUUGCCGCGCGAAAUCAAGAUAUUGGAAUUGGAUUAGUCAAUCGAUUCAUAACUGCCUUUCGAGCACAACCAUUUAGAGCACAACCAAUAUAUAUUAGAACCCCCUUUACUUGCCGAAGCACUUCUUGGAUCUGUCAAUUAUGCUAUGGCCGGAGUCCUACUCAUAGUGAUCUGGUCAAAUUGGGAGAAGCCGUAGGUAUUAUUGCAGGUCAAUCAACUGGGGAGCCAGGGACUCAACUAACAUUAAGAACUUUUCAUACUGGUGGAGUAUUCACAGGGGGUACUGCCGACCUUGUACGAUCCCCUUCGAAUGGAAAAAUAAAAUUCAAUGAGAAUUAG